RNAcentral lists this long non-coding RNA (853 nucleotides) under Gallus gallus (chicken). RNAcentral's name for it is "long non-coding RNA NONGGAT005395". Lineage: Eukaryota; Metazoa; Chordata; Aves; Galliformes; Phasianidae. The record is from RNAcentral.
CCAGACCUUGGUUCCCUCUUUGUCACCUCAUCCUCUCACCCACAGGGAAUCUCCUCCUUCCGAAGCAGCAGCACUGACACAGAGCAGUGCACACCCACGUUUAGGACACCUCGAGGAGCCCACUGAGUUCUGGUUGCAUUCAUCCCACCCGGACCUCUCCUAUCCGUGGCCUUUUUUGAUGCACCCUCACGGCGUUGGUGGCACUGCUAAGGAGUACGAAGGACCCUGUGAAAUUGGAUGACUUCCCUCACUGAGCCAUUAACAGCGCUGGAACAAAACCCGGGCGCUUAACUCGUCCCUGUCCUCUCUGUCUCGAAAUGAAAUAUCUCCAAGUCUUCUGCAUCAGGAGGAUCUCUCUCCAAAUGGGUGGAUUCUCACUUACCCCUCCGCCUCCCCCAGACAAAAAAGAAGCAAACAACAUAACAAGAACACCCCGGACCAGAUAAUGCUAGCAAAUCCCUCUCUGUAACACUGCUGCGGUCCAAACACGGAGGUGCAGCACCAAACAUUGAGCAGUUCCUGCUGCCCUGGGAGGAGGCACGUCCCACAUCCCAGCUUCACCGGCCCCAUCAGAGCUCCAGGUAGCGGAUCAGGGCCACCAUGGCCAGGGAGUUGGUGGUGAUGAUGGCAGCGUGUGGCACCGGCCUCGUCACGGAGUCUUCCACCAUCAUACUGGUCCCUGGAAGAAAGGGAGCAAGGAAGGGGCAGCUGUGGUGCUGCGUGGGCACAAAGGUUUCUUGCAGAGAUGAUGUUGCUGCAAUGUUGGCCGUGGGGUUCUGUGUGCUCUUGCUGUGCUUGGCACAGGUGAACCUCCCAGAAAUGGUUGUGUUUGAAACAAGAAUUCGGAGGUGGG